AGAAAAUAAAAAUUAUCAAUUUGGUAUGAUUAACAAAAUGGAACAUGACCAUAUCAAUUAUAUGGCUAAGAAAACUAGGCCUACGCGAUAUGGUAACAACUAUAACAAUUUAAAUGGUACUAAUAUUAGAUAUGACUAUAACAGCAGUUAUAACAAUGCAUACGGUAGCUACAUGCAUGGUAACUACAUGCACGAUAACUACAUGCACGAUAACUACAUGCAUGAUAACUACAUGCAUGGUAACUACAUGCAUGAUAACUACAUGCAUGGUAACUACAUGCACGAUAACUACAUGCAUGGUAACUACAUGCACGAUAACUACAUGCAGAACGAAAACAAACAAGUAAUUGUAUCUGGCGAAAGCUGCAACUACUUAUUCAAACCGUUCCAAAAAUUAACCAAACUAAAUGAAAAAAUAAAAAAUUAUAUAUAUGGAAAGGUAUAUUAUCAAAAUAAUUUAACAAAAUAUAUGAACAGAAUCAAUUUGGUUUCAUUUAUUGAUACUAGUGGUAUAAACGACUUAGCUGAUAAUGACUAUGAUGAUGUAGUGAUGAAUUUAGCUAAGCAUGUUGAUCUGAUAUUUAUUUUUAUAGAUUCUAAUACGAAUUCUAUAAAUAAUAGAUUAUUAAAAAUAAUAAAUUAUUUGACGGAUAAUCAAAUAAAUAAAAUAACUAUAUGUAUUAGUAAAAUAGAUUUAAUACAUAAAAUUAAUUUAUAUAGAGUUGUUUUUUACCUUACACAGUAUUUUCUUCAUAAUUUAAAUAUUUUUAAAUAUCAACUUUUGAAUAAAAAACAUAAUAGAAAUGCACUUUUAGGACAUGACGAUAGUGAAUAUGACGAGGACGAGGAUGACAAUGACAACGACAACAAAAACGGUACCUAUAGUUACAAGUUUGGUAAUAAACGAAAAAGAAGAAAAAAUAAAACUACGAAUGAAUAUUUUCGUAAAGCUAUUAAUCCUAUUAAAAAUAUAUUAUUACUUCCGAAGAUGCUGAACAGUUUGGUAAAAAGGGAGGAGCAAAGGUAUGGUUAUUACAAUGAUAGUAACACCAUUAGUUGUAAUAAUAACGUCCAAACCAACAACAAUUACAGGAGUAGCAUUCAUAGAAGUAACAGUUUUUAUGAUAAAUUAAAAAGAUUUAACUUGUUCGAAAAAAACGAACAUAUAAAUAACUCGAACAAACAAAUAACUAAACAAACAGAUCAUGAAGAAAAUACUACAAUUGGUAAUUCCCGUUAUAAUUAUUUCGAAAAUGGAAAUUAUAAACGUAUAUCACAUAAUAAUGAAAAUGGAAAUACAAAAAUACAAUUUUUGAAUAAAGAAAAUAGUAGAAGUACAAACGAUCGAAAUACAAAUUUUAUUACUCAAGCACAAAACAAAUUAAAAAGAGGAGAAAGUCUGUUACAACAAUUUUUAACAAAAAGUUAUGACUCUUUUAAAGAAAAAAUAUUAAACACUGACAAAAAUAACACAAACAAAAGUCUUAAUAAAAGUCUUAAUAAAAGUCUUAAUAAAAGUCUUAAUAAAAGUCUUAAUAAAAGCGUUAAUAAAAGUUUCGAAAGAAGGGAUAGUAUUUAUGCAAAUAUGUUUAAUGCUAAUGAAAAGGAAAAUAUAAGACGAAAAGAACAAGAAGAAGAAAAAGAACGUAGAAGUUCUUGUUAUAAUAAUGAUGAUAAAAGUAGAAGUAGAGGUAACGGUAGGGGUAGAGGUAGAGAUAGAGAUAGAGAUAGUAGUGGUACAUAUUAUCCAUAUGAGUACAACAGUAAUAGUAUGGGGAAUCGAACUAGAAAUAGCACUAUAAGUGCUACUAAUCAUAGCAAUAGUAGUAACAUCUUUCAUAAAAAAGGAAAUGAAUCUUAUUCGAAUAUAAAAAGCAAUGACGACGAACAUAGUAACUAUAAAAAUAAACAAUUUUCAAAUGGACUCAAUGGGAUCAUAGGUAUGGAUGCGAAAAAAUAUAUAAAAGAUAUUUUAGAAAAAAAAAUAAAUUAUAAUGAUACUUUAAAAAAUUUUAGUAUAUUUUUUGGUGUUUUAAUGUAUGAAUUUGCAAAAACAGUUUAUAGCAUUAUACAUACAAGUAUUAAUAAUUAUUUAAAUACAAAAAAUAAUAGAACUAUUAACGCUGAAAAGCUUUAUAAAUUAGAUAAUACAAGCACACCAAAUGAAAGUACUGAUAACAAUGUAAAUGAUAGUAACUCUUUUAAAAUACUUGAGUUUUUAACAAUUUAUAUACCAGAAAUACCAUGCACUAUAUUGAAAAAAGAAAAGUGGAACUAUAAUCAUAUGGGUUCUAAUUUUUAUUACAAUCAACCAAGGGGUAGAUUCAGUUGUAACAUUCCGUAUAACCACUUGGAAAAUGAUGGUGCCAUUGCUGGUAGUACUGUUGAUGGUGGCACUGAUGAUGGUAUUGAUAAUGGCAUUGAUGAUGGUAUUGAUAAUGGCAUUGAUGAUGACAUUGAUGAUGGCAUUGAUGAUGGCAUUGAUGAUGGCAUUGAUGAUCAAGAUGAUGUUUAUAAUACUAAUAAUGCAUAUACAAGUGGUCGGAUACAUCCUAAACUUAUUAAUAAAAAUAUGAACAACCGUUAUGACAAGCGAUAUAGAGGAAGAACAAGUAUACCAGAUGAAAACUUAUAUUUUGGUACAUAUCACCCAAAUGAUAACACUUAUUCUACAAAUGGACAACUUGAUACUAAUAACGCAUUUAUAACAACUACAAAUGUAGUUCGUAAUUUGAAUAGAACAAAUUUUAACACGUACAACAACAAUAAAAACAACAACAGUAACAAUAACAGUAACAGUAACAGUAACACGCACAAUGGUCAAAGAAGACGACAAUCUGCUUACGAAUUGCAAAAUGAGAGUAGUAAUAAAAACUAUGGUGCACCGUAUAUGCAAAGGUAUGAAUAUGGUAAUAAUGGUGUGACAGAAUUAAGAGGUAGAGAAUCAGUACGUGAUAUAAGUGGUAGCAAUACAAAUGACUUAGGUAUCAGACCAAGGUUAAACCAUAAGUUAUCAUAUGGGCAACAAACUGACCCUUAUAAAUAUAUAAAUCACAACCAGAAUACACAACAAAUAUAUACUAAUAAACAUUACGCACACCAUUAUAAUACAAAAAGUAAUUUAAAACAAUACUAUCCACAAUUUGCACAUCCAAACGAAAUGGUAUAUAACGAAGCAAAAGAAUUAAACAUGAUUCAGGAACUUUUGUAUAAAAUUGAUGAAGCAGUUGAUGUAAAAAGUAAUAAAAGUAUAUAUAUGCUUAAAAAAGAUUUACAGACUAUACAAAAUAGUUGUUUAAAAAGGAUAUCAGAUAAUGAUAAAAUAAUUGAAAAAAAUAAAUCAUUACGAAUUCAAAAUCUGAAGUUUUAUUUUUUUAAAUAUAUGGCAAUUUUUUUAGGUUUUAUUAUUUCUUUAUUAAAAUAUGAUAUAUUAGUUUAUUUUAAUUUUGUAAAACCUAAAUUGUUAUAUAGUAUUAUGUCCAAAUAUUUUAUUUUUUUAUCAUCCUAUAAUGAAAAUUCCAUAUUUAUUUUUAUCAACAUCCUUUUAUUUAUGGCUUAUGUUUUUAUUUAUAUGCGUUAUAAUAGACGAAAUUAUUUUAAAUCGUUGGAUAAAAGUGACCUAAACAAAUUAAACAUUAUUUUAUUAUUUACUCAAAUUAUUUGUGAUGAAAUUAACCAGUUGCAUUUACGCUUGUUAGGGAAGGAGAGUAAACGGGACAGUGACUAACUAAUUUGAAGAUGGUAACCUGUGGUGAGAAUCGUGAUUGCGUGAUUGCGUGAUUGUCUGUGUGAUUAUGCGAUGGUGCUAUAGUUUCGGACAUGAUGAAUUAAGGUGGGAUUCGGAUCGCAUGUUCAACUAUGUACUUCAUGUGUGUUAUGCAACAAGCGUACUUAAUCACAACAAUUCGAAGCAUCGUAAACAAAAUUUAAAACAGAAAAAAAAAAAAAAAAAAAAAAAAAAAAAAAAAAAAAUCAAUUUAAUAGUGUAUAAAGUCCAAAAUUAAAAAAAUUCUCAAAGGCAAGAAUUUAAAAAGUUAGCGGAGGUUAUAUUUAAAAUAUAAAAAAAUAAAUAUAACUUGCAAAACA
Long non-coding RNA from Piliocolobus tephrosceles (Ugandan red Colobus), 4086 nucleotides. The record is from Ensembl. Lineage: Eukaryota; Metazoa; Chordata; Mammalia; Primates; Cercopithecidae.